GGUGAGUAACACGUGGGUAACCUGCCUGUAAGACUGGGAUAACUCCGGGAAACCGGGGCUAAUACCGGAUGGUUGUUUGAACCGCAUGGUUCAGACAUAAAAGGUGGCUUCGGCUACCACUUACAGAUGGACCCGCGGCGCAUUAGCUAGUUGGUGAGGUAACGGCUCACCAAGGCGACGAUGCGUAGCCGACCUGAGAGGGUGAUCGGCCACACUGGGACUGAGACACGGCCCAGACUCCUACGGGAGGCAGCAGUAGGGAAUCUUCCGCAAUGGACGAAAGUCUGACGGAGCAACGCCGCGUGAGUGAUGAAGGUUUUCGGAUCGUAAAGCUCUGUUGUUAGGGAAGAACAAGUGCCGUUCAAAUAGGGCGGCACCUUGACGGUACCUAACCAGAAAGCCACGGCUAACUACGUGCCAGCAGCCGCGGUAAUACGUAGGUGGCAAGCGUUGUCCGGAAUUAUUGGGCGUAAAGGGCUCGCAGGCGGUUUCUUAAGUCUGAUGUGAAAGCCCCCGGCUCAACCGGGGAGGGUCAUUGGAAACUGGGGAACUUGAGUGCAGAAGAGGAGAGUGGAAUUCCACGUGUAGCGGUGAAAUGCGUAGAGAUGUGGAGGAACACCAGUGGCGAAGGCGACUCUCUGGUCUGUAACUGACGCUGAGGAGCGAAAGCGUGGGGAGCGAACAGGAUUAGAUACCCUGGUAGUCCACGCCGUAAACGAUGAGUGCUAAGUGUUAGGGGGUUUCCGCCCCUUAGUGCUGCAGCUAACGCAUUAAGCACUCCGCCUGGGGAGUACGGUCGCAAGACUGAAACUCAAAGGAAUUGACGGGGGCCCGCACAAGCGGUGGAGCAUGUGGUUUAAUUCGAAGCAACGCGAAGAACCUUACCAGGUCUUGACAUCCUCUGACAAUCCUAGAGAUAGGACGUCCCCUUCGGGGGCAGAGUGACAGGUGGUGCAUGGUUGUCGUCAGCUCGUGUCGUGAGAUGUUGGGUUAAGUCCCGCAACGAGGCGCAACCCUUGAUCUUAGUUGCCAGCAUUCAGUUGGGCACUCUAAGGUGACUGCCGGUGACAAACCGGAGGAAGGUGGGGAUGACGUCAAAUCAUCAUGCCCCUUAUGACCUGGGCUACACACGUGCUACAAUGGACAGAACAAAGGGCAGCGAAACCGCGAGGUUAAGCCAAUCCCACAAAUCUGUUCUCAGUUCGGAUCGCAGUCUGCAACUCGACU
RNAcentral lists this ribosomal RNA (1227 nucleotides) under Bacillus sp. (in: firmicutes). RNAcentral describes it as "bacterial SSU rRNA". It matches the Rfam family "Bacterial small subunit ribosomal RNA", at positions 105 to 1317 of the family's 1533-position model. Lineage: Bacteria; Bacillati; Bacillota; Bacilli; Caryophanales; Bacillaceae. The record is from RNAcentral.